RNAcentral lists this ribosomal RNA (429 nucleotides) under uncultured bacterium. RNAcentral describes it as "bacterial SSU rRNA". It matches the Rfam family "Bacterial small subunit ribosomal RNA", at positions 355 to 776 of the family's 1533-position model. The record is from RNAcentral.
UGGGGAAUAUUGGACAAUGGGGGAAACCCUGAUCCAGCGAUGCCGCGUGUGUGAAGAAGGCCUGCGGGUUGUAAAGCACUUUAGUUGGGGAGGAAGUUUGUUGGGUGAAUAGCCUGAUGAAUUGACGUUACCCAAAGAAUAAGCAACGGCAAACUCUGUGCCAGCAGCCGCGGUAAUACAGAGGUUGCAAGCGUUAAUCGGAAUUACUGGGCGUAAAGGGUGCGUAGGCGGUUUAUUAAGUGAGAUGUGAAAUACCAGGGCUUAACCUUGGGAAGUCAUCUUAGACUGAUAAACUAGAGUGAAGGAGAGGGUAGUGGAAUUUCCGGCGUAGCGGUGAAAUGCGUAGAUUUCGGAAAGAACACCGGUGGCGAAGGCGGCUACCUGGCCUUUAACUGACGCUGAGGCACGAAAGCGUGGGGAGCGAACAGG